Phrynosoma platyrhinos (Desert horned lizard) is the source of this 73-nucleotide non-coding RNA. Lineage: Eukaryota; Metazoa; Chordata; Lepidosauria; Squamata; Phrynosomatidae. The record is from the annotation of a GenBank genome assembly.
GCCAGCAUGGUAUAGCAGUUUGAGUGUUGGACUAUGACUCUAGAGAUGAGGGUUCGAUUCCCCACUUCUGGUG